Molecule: ribosomal RNA, 271 nt
Filed under: uncultured prokaryote
Description: partial 16S ribosomal RNA
Rfam family: Bacterial small subunit ribosomal RNA
Source: RNAcentral
UACGGAGGAUCCGAGCGUUAUCCGGAUUUAUUGGGUUUAAAGGGUGCGCAGGCGGGGGAUUAAGUCGGCGGUGAAAUUUUGCAGCUCAACUGUAAAAGUGCCUUCGAAACUGGUUUCCUUGAGUGUAGAUGAAGUAGGCGGAAUUUGUGGUGUAGUGGUGAAAUGCAUAGAUAUCACGAGGAACUCCGAUUGCGCAGGCAGCUUACUAAACUACUACUGACGCUCAGGCACGAAGGCGUGGGGAUCAAACAGGAUUAGAUACCCUGGUAGU